This 902-nucleotide long non-coding RNA is filed under the name Prunus dulcis (almond). RNAcentral's name for it is "sRNA ncRNA". Lineage: Eukaryota; Viridiplantae; Streptophyta; Magnoliopsida; Rosales; Rosaceae. The record is from RNAcentral.
GGAACCUAUUUGGCGGGUGUUGGAAGGAAGCAAUCUAAUAAGUGGAUUGAUUGAAUUUGACAAAAUUGACAUUCCACACAUAAUAUUCCAAGUUUCCAACGGUCCAACCUAUGACUGCCUCUGCCUCUGCCUCUGGUCGGCUGCCUGCCAUAGUAAGUUCUUGUUUCAUUUUGAAUCACCAUAAAUUCAAAAGGGUCUUGCUUAUUUUUGCUAUUUUAUGUUUUUUUUUUUCUUUGCCAAUUUGACCUGAUGAGCUAUAUGAAAUUUUCUCUUUUCUAGUAUGUAGAGACGCUUUUGAAUUGGGAUGGGUUUGGCUUAGUUUUUAAUUCCUGUGAUUUUUUUUUUUGGGCUUAAUCUGUAAUGGGUUAUGUGAUUCUUUUCUGUUUUUGAUAUAAACUUUGAUAAUUUCUCUCGUGUGGUUUAAUCUGACAUGAGUUCAUGGGUCAUUUUCAUGUAGAUGGAGGAUGAUGAAGAAGAGGAACCGUAAUCAUUCUCUAAACUAUGUGGCUAACUAUGUGGCUAAUGCUUUUCAGUUAGGGGUUUUUUAAUAUGGUGCUGGGAAAGAACAGGGACAUAGAGCCUCUUUUGUUGAAAUUUGGGGUGGCUUUUGCUCGUUAGUUGCUGGAUUUCUCUUUUCUCGUCUCUUUUACUAGUACAAGUCUAUUUUUUUGCAGCUCCCUUAAUUGAUACAAGGGAAUCUGUUUGGUAUUUAAAAUCUAAUGUGGUGUUUUACUUAUAUUUUUUGUCAUGGGUUGUAAAAUAUAAUUUGGUGCUUUGCUUUUUUUGUCAUGGGAUGUAACUUGUAAGAAACAACUAAUUUGAUAGUUGGAUGAUGCAUGUGCUUGUGAUUGUGAUUUAGUUUAGAAAUGGGCUUUAAUGGAUGACCUAUUUGAAAAAUUGGC